UACAGAGAGUGCAAACGUUGUUCGGAAUUACUGGGCUUAAAGAGCACGUAGGCGGCGUCGUAAGUGUCAGGUGAAAUCCCACGGCUCACCCGUGGAACUGCCCGGCAGACUGCGAUGCUCGAGUGUGGUAGGGGAGAACGGAACUCAUGGUGGAGCGGUGAAAUGCGUAGAUAUCAUGAGGAACACCGGUGGCGAAGGCGGUUCUCUGGUCCACAACUGACGCUGAGGUGCGAAAGCUAGGGGAGCAAACGGG
RNAcentral lists this ribosomal RNA (253 nucleotides) under uncultured bacterium. RNAcentral describes it as "partial 16S ribosomal RNA". It matches the Rfam family "Bacterial small subunit ribosomal RNA", at positions 524 to 776 of the family's 1533-position model. The record is from RNAcentral.